AGAGUUUGAUCAUGGCUCAGGACGAACGCUGGCGGCAUGCCUUACACAUGCAAGUCGAACGGCAGCACGGGGGCAACCCUGGUGGCGAGUGGCGAACGGGUGAGUAAUACAUCGGAACGUGCCCAGUAGUGGGGGAUAGCCCGGCGAAAGCGGGACUAAUACCCGAUUAUGCAGCGGCACCGCAUGGUGACAGUUGUUAAAAGCCGCAAGGCGCCUGGAGAUGAGCCUGCGUCCCAUUAGGUAGUUGGCGGGGUAACGGCCCACCAAGCCCGCGAUGGGUAGCUGGUCUGAGAGGAUGGCCAGCCACACUGGAACUGAGACACGGUCCAGACUCCUACGGGAGGCAGCAGUGAGGAAUAUUGCGCAAUGGCCGAAAGGCUGACGCAGCGACGCCGCGUGAGGGAUGAAGCCCGUUAGGAUGUAAACCUCUUUUGCAGGGGAUGAAGCUGCCGCUACAGGCGGCAGUCGACCGUACCCUGCGAAUAAGGGUCGGCUAACUACGUGCCAGCAGCCGCGGUAAUACGUAGGACCCGAGCGUUGUCCGGAUUUACUGGGUGUAAAGGGCGUGUAGGUGGGCGCCUAAGUCGAUGGUGAAAUCCUGCGGCUCAACCGUAGAAUUGCCGUCGAUACUGGGCGUCUUGAGUACGGCAGAGGGAGAUGGAAUUCAUGGUGUAGCGGUGAAAUGUGUAGAUAUCAUGAAGAACACCGGUAGCGAAGCGGUCUCCUGGUCCGUUACUGACACUGAGGCGCGAAAGCGUGGGAGCAAACAGGAUUAGAUACCCUGGUAGUCCACGCCUUAACGAUGGGUACUAGGUGCUGGGCCGCAAGGUCAGUGCAAAGCUACGCAUUAGUACCCCACUGGGAGUACGAUCGCAGUGAACUCAAGGAAUUG
Molecule: ribosomal RNA, 892 nt
Filed under: uncultured bacterium
Lineage: Bacteria
Description: bacterial SSU rRNA
Rfam family: Bacterial small subunit ribosomal RNA
Source: RNAcentral